AGUGAUUCUCAGCCUUUUGACUAAGAAUAAGUGUAGUAUCUGCUCUUAUCGGUUUAAAACCUAUAGUUCAUUUUUUCCUUUAAAGAGAAGUUUUAAUUUUUUUGUUUUAGAGAGGAAGAGAGCAAGAGAUAGAAACAUCAAUCAGUUGCCUCCUGCAUGCUCGCUACUGGGGAUCGAGCCAGCUACCCUAA
Molecule: small nuclear RNA, 191 nt
Organism: Molossus molossus (Pallas's mastiff bat)
Lineage: Eukaryota; Metazoa; Chordata; Mammalia; Chiroptera; Molossidae
Product: U2 spliceosomal RNA
Exons: 1
Source: RefSeq, a predicted model, not a curated record